UUUGACAUGGCAGGAAUCCUGAAGAGAUUUGGGAGUGCUCGAAAGAGAACCUGCACACAGGUGCUGCAUGGCUGUCGUCAGCUCGUGUCGUGAGAUGUUGGGUUAAGUCCCGCAACGAGCGCAACCCUUGCCAUUAGUUGCUACGAAAGGGCACUCUAAUGGGACUGCCGGUGACAAACCGGAGGAAGGUGGGGAUGACGUCAAGUCCUCAUGGCCCUUAUAGGUGGGGCUACACACGUCAUACAAUGGCCGGUACAGAGGGUAGCCAACCCGCGAGGGGGAGCCAAUCCCACAAAGCCGGUCGUAGUCCGGAUCGUAGUCUGCAACUCGACUGCGUGAAGUCGGAAUCGCUAGUAAUCGUGGAUCAGCAUGUCACGGUGAAUACGUUCCCGGGUCUU
This 398-nucleotide ribosomal RNA is filed under the name uncultured Allobrachymonas sp. Its description in RNAcentral is "bacterial SSU rRNA". It matches the Rfam family "Bacterial small subunit ribosomal RNA", at positions 980 to 1382 of the family's 1533-position model. Lineage: Bacteria; Pseudomonadati; Pseudomonadota; Betaproteobacteria; Burkholderiales; Comamonadaceae. The record is from RNAcentral.